AUCCAGCUGGUGAGUCACAAAUAGGACGAAACACGCGUCCUGGAU
Molecule: non-coding RNA, 45 nt
Organism: Schistosoma haematobium
Lineage: Eukaryota; Metazoa; Platyhelminthes; Trematoda; Strigeidida; Schistosomatidae
Source: Rfam